GACGUAGGGCGCGAGCGUUGUCCGGAUUUAUUGGGCGUAAAGAGCUCGUAGGCGGCUUGUCGCGUCGUCCGUGAAAACCUGCGGCUCAACUGCAGGCUGGCGGUCGAUACGGGCAGGCUGGAGUUCGGUAGGGGAGACUGGAAUUCCUGGUGUAGCGGUGAAAUGCGCAGAUAUCUGGAGGAACACCGGUGGCGAAGGCGGCAUCCUGGACCGACACUGACGCUGAGGAGCGAAAGCCAGGGGAGCAAACGGG
RNAcentral lists this ribosomal RNA (253 nucleotides) under uncultured bacterium. RNAcentral's name for it is "partial 16S ribosomal RNA". It matches the Rfam family "Bacterial small subunit ribosomal RNA", at positions 524 to 776 of the family's 1533-position model. The record is from RNAcentral.